UGGCUCAGUUGGUUGAGCAUCUGACUUCGGCUCAGGUCGUGAUCUCACAGUUUGUGAGUUCAAAUCCCAC
Molecule: transfer RNA, 70 nt
Filed under: Felis catus (domestic cat)
Lineage: Eukaryota; Metazoa; Chordata; Mammalia; Carnivora; Felidae
Also listed under: 2 other names
Rfam family: tRNA
About the family: Transfer RNA (tRNA) molecules are approximately 80 nucleotides in length.
Source: Rfam by way of RNAcentral